RNAcentral lists this ribosomal RNA (986 nucleotides) under Corynebacterium sp. HMSC075D04. Its description in RNAcentral is "bacterial SSU rRNA". It matches the Rfam family "Bacterial small subunit ribosomal RNA", at positions 1 to 995 of the family's 1533-position model. Lineage: Bacteria; Bacillati; Actinomycetota; Actinomycetes; Mycobacteriales; Corynebacteriaceae. The record is from RNAcentral.
UUUUUUGUGGAGAGUUUGAUCCUGGCUCAGGAUGAACGCUGGCGGCGUGCUUAACACAUGCAAGUCGAACGGAAAGGCUCCUGCUUGCAGGGGUACUCGAGUGGCGAACGGGUGAGUAACACGUGGGUGAUCUGCCCCGCACUUCGGGAUAAGCCUGGGAAACUGGGUCUAAUACCGGAUAGGACCACUUCUUGGAGGUUGUGGUGGAAAGUUUUUUCGGUGUGGGAUGAGCUCGCGGCCUAUCAGCUUGUUGGUGGGGUAAUGGCCUACCAAGGCGUCGACGGGUAGCCGGCCUGAGAGGGUGUACGGCCACAUUGGGACUGAGAUACGGCCCAGACUCCUACGGGAGGCAGCAGUGGGGAAUAUUGCACAAUGGGCGCAAGCCUGAUGCAGCGACGCCGCGUGGGGGAUGACGGCCUUCGGGUUGUAAACUCCUUUCGCUAGGGACGAAGCGCAAGUGACGGUACCUAGAGAAGAAGCACCGGCUAACUACGUGCCAGCAGCCGCGGUAAUACGUAGGGUGCGAGCGUUGUCCGGAAUUACUGGGCGUAAAGAGCUCGUAGGUGGUUUGUCGCGUCGUUUGUGUAAGCCCGCAGCUUAACUGCGGGACUGCAGGCGAUACGGGCAUAACUUGAGUGCUGUAGGGGAGACUGGAAUUCCUGGUGUAGCGGUGGAAUGCGCAGAUAUCAGGAGGAACACCGAUGGCGAAGGCAGGUCUCUGGGCAGUAACUGACGCUGAGGAGCGAAAGCAUGGGGAGCGAACAGGAUUAGAUACCCUGGUAGUCCAUGCCGUAAACGGUGGGCGCUAGGUGUGAGUCCCUUCCACGGGGUUCGUGCCGUAGCUAACGCAUUAAGCGCCCCGCCUGGGGAGUACGGCCGCAAGGCUAAAACUCAAAGGAAUUGACGGGGGCCCGCACAAGCGGCGGAGCAUGUGGAUUAAUUCGAUGCAACGCGAAGAACCUUACCUGGGCUUGACAUACACCAGA